UACGGAGGGUGCGAGCGUUAAUCGGAAUUACUGGGCGUAAAGCGCGCGUAGGCGGUUUGGUCAGUCAGAUGUGAAAGCCCCGGGCUCAACCUGGGAACUGCAUUUGAUACUGCUGAACUAGAGUGUGGUAGAGGGAAGUGGAAUUCCGGGUGUAGCGGUGAAAUGCGUAGAGAUCCGGAGGAACAUCAGUGGCGAAGGCGGCUUCCUGGACCAACACUGACGCUGAGGUGCGAAAGCGUGGGUAGCAAACAGG
Molecule: ribosomal RNA, 253 nt
Filed under: uncultured bacterium
Lineage: Bacteria
Description: partial 16S ribosomal RNA
Rfam family: Bacterial small subunit ribosomal RNA
Source: RNAcentral